UGAGGAGUAGCUAGAGCUUCCUAGUCCUGGGACAGAAUGGACAAGAUUCACAUCUGAGGACAGAUUAGCCAUUUGGGAUAAUAUAUAGACUGGUACUUAAUGCUUCCAUUCAGUCCUCUUGGCACCAGAGUUUGAGGGCAUAUACUCAGUGGUAUGCUGUUUUAGAGCUAUGAAUGAGGCAGACGGUGCUGGAGGAAGUCACGAAAGAAUCUCUGAAUCAGAUGGGAUUUCACCCACCCUCACAGGCCAGAUGACUUGUGCUAUCAUCUAUCAAAUCAAAGAGUGCUCCAGGCUUGCUAAAUGCGACAUGAGAUGGCCUCAUGCAGCUCAAGCACAGAAAAGCUUCCAAAUGUAUCAUAGGCUGGCAGCUGGGCCCAUGUUGAGAAGAGCUGCCUCCCAGGGUGCACGAUGAGAGAAGGCAAAAGGUUUGCUGACAUUAAUGUCCACGAUGUCAACAACAACCCUUGCUUCCAAUCGCAUUUCCCGGAAAAUCCAGGCCAGAAAGGGCAGGGGGAGCAGGUCUCUGUAUCCUUUCUCAUCAGCUUCCUCUGCCCCUUUCAGCAGCCCUGCCCUCAAUCCCCUUUCAACCCACUGGCAUAGUAACUGCUCACCUCUUGGGCUGUUCUGUGAGACUGGACCAAAGCUAGGCUAACAUACUUGGCUAUACACCCACAGAUAACUCACAGGUAGCAUUUGGAAGACUUCUAAAGGGAUUUUUAGAGAGCGUCCCAUUGCCCUAAUUUUAGAUGAUGAAAAACAAGACUGAGAGGUGAAGUGACUUGCCUGAGGUCACACAGCAUCCUGGUGGCAAGGGACUAGAAUUUGAGCUUCCUGCCUUCAAAAUCAGUUAGCCCUGGAACCAAAAGAAGGUUCAAGGGAGAGAGAAGGCUCCCUCAAAUCCCCUCCUGAUAGAAGCAUUAUCUUCUCUACCUCAUUAUUAUUAACAAGGACAAAGAGACAUUGGGGAUGGAAUGUAUCUUUUAAUGUUUUAAACGAACAAAACUUUAGUAUAAAUUAAUAGAUCUAUUAAUUAAAUCAACUCCGUGAAUAGAGGCCCUUGUGAAGGGAGAGCCCAGUGUCCAGGAUAGAGGCUAAAAACCAAAGGACAAAGGACCUUGUAGACAAAUGUCACUUAUAGCUAGCCCCCUAAUCUUGAAUACAGAGAGUGGUGGAAAACAUCCAGAACUCACGGCUUGAUUGCAUGCAUGGAUCCAGCUACUCAGCAGUGAGGACAUUUCGAGACCACUCUCCAUCUUGCCUCCAGUUGGCCAGUGUGACCUUGGCUGAGCCUCCGGAAGUGUGAGCUGCAGAGCCUCUGGUCUGCUGAAAAGCGCUCUCCCAUCCCCACCGAGGGAAAUUAGCUGACCUUCACCUUUUGAAAUUACCUGCUGCUGCUCUUGGCUCAGCGCUGUUUCCCCUGCACUGGCUCCCAGCAUCCUGACAUUUCCAUUCACAGUUGCUCUCACCGGCCUCAUUUCCUGCCUCUCUGAAAAGGUCUCUCUGACCACCUCUGAAUCAAAAAUAAAAAUGCUAAAUUAUACUUAUCCUAACAUGGUGAAAAUCUCGACUAAUCUGAGCCCAAUCAUCUGAAGGCUUGAAUAGGUGGAUUUUCGUGGGCUGUUAUCACAUUCAAUUUUCCAAAGGGGAAUCAUUCAGUCUUGUAGAACCGUUUGAAACUAUUUUGCUCUGCGAAAACCCCCACAGAGUCACAAAUGUCAACGACUAUCCCUGGCCACACAUGUCAGAAUCAUAGUGAGGUGCUACCACUAAAUUUUUGAACUUAUUGGCAAUGCCCUUGACAUCAGUGCACCCGGGAUAAUUCCAGCAAGGAGGCUCCCUGGUUGGGAAACUUGCUUCUCCAUACAGUGGGUCUGACUUCCUUUCCCUUCCUUUCUCUCCAAUCUUUCCGAUCCAGAUCUCCAAACGUGAUGUCAGAAUCUAUACCUGGUGCAGAUAUUCUUAACUUUGCACCAGGCCCUAACCCAAAUGGUUCAUUCCGCCUAUAUAUGACUCAUCUCACUUUGGUGGAUUCCUGUAACUUCCAACCAUUUUUUUUUUCUAUAUGUAACUUAAAAUGCCUUUUCUCCUCCUGAAGCUGCCUUCGGGCUGCUUCUGGAAUUAUCUAUUUCUUUUUCAACUCUGCCCAUCAGCAUGCCACUGAUUCCUCCCCAAGCUGCAGCAUGGCUAGAGGCUCCUUUUUGAAAAUCUCCCUCUCAAAGCCAAAGCGGAAGAAUAGGGAUGUUUGAACAUUCCUGGGGAUUUGGAGAAUAGAGAGGAGCUUCCAGUGCUUGGCGGAGCCUAUGAAGAAGGGCUGAAUAAAGUUCAGGUGGUUCCUGAAGGAAGGCAGGUUGGGGCACUGGGUGCUGCGUUGAGAAGUAAUUGUAGUUUACAUGCUUCCUAAUGACCUGGCAUUACAGGCUGCACUCUGCUGCUCAGCAUCUGCUUCUAGCAGCCAGGGUUUGUAUCUACCUGCAGCCUGCAUUCCAGAAAGAAUGCCCUGUACUGAUAACAGACCAUGAAAGUGCAGCUUUAUGAAUUACCUUUGAUUUUUAAAGGAUAUCAUAAAUUCAACUUUUGAGUAAAUAGAAGACAAUGGAGCAUACAGUACAACGGGCAGGCCCCAGAGUCAGCCUAACCUGGAUUCAGAUUCUAGCUCAAACACUUUACAAAUAUUUGUGUGGCCUUGGACAAAUUAUCUUAAUUUGCUAAAGAUCUCAAUUUCCUCAUCAGUAAAAUGUGAAUAAAAAUAAGUAUUUUAUAGAAUUGUAUAGAUUACUUAAAAGGUAAAAGCAACAAUAAAAACUGAGUUAGCAUCUGAGGUGAAUUUAUUUGUGCCAGGCUCUACUCUCAGGAACUUUACAUAUAGUCAAUCAUUUUGUCCUUCUCCUUACCCUAAGAGAUUACUAUUAAUUAUUAUUAAUAUUGGCACUAUUAUUACUCUCAUCUUCCCCAGAUGAGGAAACUGAGCCACAGACAGAUUAAGUAGCUCACCCAAUGUCCAGCAACAGCCUCAGACACUGACAACCUGGGAGAAAUGGUCAGACUCUAGGCCUUAGACCCUCCUUCACUUGAGAGGCAGUGGGAUCAGCAGAGGCCUUAGUCUUCAUUUCUCCCCACCUCUCAAUUUAACACCCUUGUUGGGGGAGACCAGAUGGGCAAGUUGCUCAGAUACUUGUGCCUAAGGGUUGUCCCAGAGCCCCAGACAAGGCCCAGAAUCAAGAGGGUGUCCCACCAAGCAGGUCCUGCCUACUGGUCAACAGGGUAGCUCUUUCACAUGACACCAGGAUUCUGGAUGACUCAAAUUUUUGUAUACAGAUGAGGGACUGCAAAAAUUUUUGCCCAGGACCACACAGCCCAGAGCAGGCCUGCAAGGUCCCACUGCUAAGAAGUGGUGGGUCUGAGAUGGGAUCUGGGGACAGUCUGCCUCCAGCCCCUGGCUCUCCAAGUGCAGGACCAGCUCAUAGCAAACAUACCAUACAGUGGAGUUAUGAUUAGAUUUGAAAUGCCCUGAGUAAUUUGAGCUAAAAAGAAUCCUAUGGGAAAGAAAAUUUGUAAAAUAAAUGUGGUUUUGCCUUUGUUCUUAAUUCAGGGUUUAUGAAAGGAAGCCCACUUGUAAAUAAUUAGGGAUGAGAGCUGCUGACUUAGCCAGGGGUUUUCUUCCCAGGCUCUUGGACUUUCAGUGAGAGGAAGAAGGCAGGACAAUGAAGAAUGUGUCUGGUCUUUGCCUAGGUUCCUGGUAGGGAACUUCCCUAUGAUAGGAAAGUCUGUUACCCAUGGUGGGCCUCUGGGACUACAUUGGAGCUUAUGCUGAUGAGGUGACUCCUAGUGAGCUUCUAGAAAGUUGCAGGAUAGCAUGCAGCCAUGCCAGAAAGACCACCCACGUGACUUGAGAAUUGGGGAAGGGGGUGGAGGAGAACCUAGAGAAUAACUUCAACCAUAAGACCAAUGACUGGAUCAAUCAUACCUACAUAAUAAAAUCCUCAUAAAAAUUCUGGACACAAAGGCUCAGUUGAGCUUUCCCUAUUGCUGAUCAUAUGUUGAUGUGUCCAGCUGAUGAAUCAUCCUGAUAGACUCAUGUUUGGGACCCCUCCAGACUUUGUCACAUGUACCCCUUCAUUUGGCUUGGUCUUUCUUUGUACAAUCAAACUGUAAUUAUAAGGCUAGCACUUUCCUGACAGUUUCGUAAGUGAAUGAAACUGUGGUGGUAGUGAGAAGCCCCCGCAUUUGCAGCCAGCUGGUCAGAAGUGUGGGUGGCCUGGAAACCCCGGAGCUUGUGACUGUGGUCUGACAUGAGAGGCAUCUUGUGGGGGACUGUGCCCCAACCUGUGACUUCUGUACUAACUCUGUGGAGCUAUGCCAGGGCAGGGCAAGGAUGAAAAGGGCAAUGAGACAGCAUGACCAUGUGUUUUAUUUUUAAAGAUCCUCAGCCUUUCCAAGCAUUGUCCUUUUUUUUUUUUUUUAGACCUUAUUUAUUUAUUCUUGAGAAUAAAGAGAGAGAGGCAGAGACACAGGCAGAGGGAGAAGCAGGCUCCCUGUGGGGAGCCUGAUACGGGACUUGAUUCCAGAACUCCAGGAUCAUGACCUGAGCCAAAGGCAGAUGCUCAACCACUGAGCCACCCAGGUGCCCCUCAAGCAUUGUCCUUUAUCCCUGCUCAACACCACUCUACUGCCAUAGCUCACAGGCCAUGUCUGAAACCCAACAAUGUCCUCUCCCAAAUCUCUGAGUGUUUUUUAUUCAUAAGACUCAGUUAUUAUCUGAUGAAUGGAGGGGGGCAGGAUUAAGCAAAUUAUAAACAAUCACCAUGAUACAUCCCACACCUGCAUUUAUACUCUCUUCCAGGGACCUCAAAUAUUUGACACAGGUGGUCCUUGAGGCAUUUAAAAUAGGAUGAAAUUUGUUUUCUCUAAAUAUAGAUUAGGCUAGGGAACUUUCUUUCCAUGAACCUAUGGUCUUCAGAAGUUUGUGAUGCAAUAGAAAGAGCAUCAAAUUGGAGACAAAUGCCUGAACCUGGGUCGUCUCAGGGGCUGAGAAGGUGAGCCAGACAGGUGAGGCCUGGGCUCAUCAGACCCCAUCCCAAUCUUCUGGGGUUCAGAACAGGGCUUCAAGUUCAAUGGGAAGAGGAGUGGAGUGUAAAACUGGAACUGGAGGAGAGACCCAAUCAAACAGGCUGGAAGAAGACUCAGAUCUGAUGGGCACACCAUUGCCAGCACUUACUCUAGGUGCCCAGGCCAGCAAAUUAUGUCAGAUCCUAUUGCUCUGGGCUUCUUACAUGCAUCCCAGAUGAAUGCUCCUAGACCAGGAAGGGAGAAGAUGUGAGUAGUUAAUAUGUUUUCAUCAAAUGAAUUAAUGGCUUUUGUACAUCCAGUUGGCAAAACCUUCGGCAGACAACAUCUGAUGCUGGAAUGUAUCUCAAACAAGUUACACCUGACAGUCACCAUACCUUUUAAAGUGAUAGCACCCUGACACCCCAAACUUCCUGUUGACUUUAAUCAACUGAGGGCAUUUGAAUAAGCCUACAAUGUAGGAGAGGACAUGGAAGUAUAUCCAAGGACCCAAGCCAUAAUGAUGCCUACUAGUUCGGGGCUGAUGAGCAAAGAAGUAAUAAAGAGGGAAAACCUAGCAGCUCUUCCACCCUCCCUCCUUCUCUCAACACCAUCCUGUCUUCUCUACUUGCUAUUAUAGCUCUUUUAAAAAACGAUUCCUUUUUUCACAUUGUUUUCCGAUAAACCAAACACUUCAAGGGUCUGCAGUCUUUGAGUGUCCCUUCAAAGCCCACUUCACACCUGCAUUUCCCAAAAUCCAUGAUGCCAGUAAAUGUUACAUCAAUUGUAGCAGGUUUUGGUUACUCCUAUAAAUUAAGACUUACAAUGAGCAGAUCUCAUUAAAAUGUUACCACAGCACCAAAUUCCAGCCAAAUGGACACAAGCCCAAUGCCCUUGUCAUACAAUUCUAAGUCUUAUAUGGAAGCAAACAUGUAUUUUGUCAGAAAUUAGGAGGAGAAAGAGAUGAAUGGGAACUGCUGGAAUGCACAUCAGAGGCAUUUCCAAGUAUCCAUGAUGGCCACUGGCUACAUCGAUCGGAUAAUGACAAGAUCUGGUUGGAAUCCAAAUGAGAAGCCACUCAGCGGAGGCAGAAAGUAAAAGGAGUAGUUAAUUUUUAUGAACCUGUUGGCUGGUGCUUGAUGUUAAUAUUUCAUGGUGUCAAGCUUGUCUUCUUUUUUAUCUUAAACUCAAAAUGAAGAACUAUGACUGGCUCUGGACUAUAAUCCUGGUAAGAGCAUGCAGCGUUUCCACAUUAUGCUCCCUCCUCCAUACUAGCCUUGUUCAUGACUGCACAGCAUUUGUUGAACUGUCUUCUGAUCCUGUCAAGCUGUUACAAGUUGAAUUUUGGAAACAUGCAACAAUUUCAAGGAUUAAAACAAAUCACCCCACUGCUAAAUAUUAGCUCUCUCUUCUUAGGCAACAGCAUGUGGGGGUCUCACUUAGGGACUGAGAAUAAAUGUGGACCAUGGCCCUGCAUGAAGCCAUCUUGUUCUUUUCCAUUCUAUUUUUCCUCACCAUCCCUGGUUUCUCGGUUGAGCUUAUGAUCUGGUUGCUAGGUCAGCAGAAGGUGAAUGGUUUCCUGCGUGGGUGAGACAGAGUGGUUGCAAAAUACGUAUCUUGCCUCAACUCACCAACUGGUGCCCCAGCUGUCAGGGGAACACAGCAUAUUGGAGGCUAUGAUUCAAGAAGGAGCACCAGGUGAAAUGCAUUGUCAAGCACAGUUAUUAAAUGUUGAGGCUGCUCAGCAGCUACUUCAGCAUCCAGUUUUUUUUUUUCUUCCAAGUAAAACUCUUCUAUUGGCAUUAGACUGAGGGUUUCCUAACAUAAUCACAGAGUCUUAAGUUGAAAGGGGGUAUUUGGAGCAGCCCCUACUCUUUAGAGAUGAGGGAUCUAAUGUCUAGAGUAUGCAGGGCAGUGUGGGGAUUUUUAAAUUUUUGUUUAUUUAUUUAUUUAUUUAUUCAUUCAUUCAUUCAUUCACUCAUUCAUGAGAGACACACAGAGAGAGGUAGAGACACAGGCAGAGGAAGAAGCAGGCUCGCUGCAGGGAGCCCGAUAUGGGACUCGAUCCCAGGACCCUGGGAACAUCCUGAACUGAAGGCAGAUACUCAACCACUGAGCCAGAGAUCCAGCCAGGGAUCCCGGAUAUUUUUAUUUUUUAUUUUUUGGUUGAGAGGGGCAUGAAGAGGACCCUGAUCUGGCCAUAAAACUAGUACUGACAUUUUCCAAGAAAAUGGCUAAUUGAAUCAUGACCACAAAGAGUACUUACAGUGUACGAGAGGGAAAGAUUCAAACUUGACCACCCUAACAUUUAGAGAAAUGCACAGUAUUGAAAUAAUUUGGAUUAGUUCUCUAACAAUGCCAAGGAACUGCUCCAAUCACAAAGAAAUGCACCAGGGAUGGGGACAAUAUUUGAUGGCUCCCUCUCUACCAACCUGGAAGCUUAUAGUUUUAAUUAUCUUGAACCAUAUGCAAUCAUUAAUUCAUUUGAUGAAAACAUAUUAACUACUCACAGUGUGAUAGUCUAAGGAAAAUGGUGUGAGUAAAGCAUUUUAUCUACCUUCAGAACCUUUCAAACAUGCAAACAUUGUUUCUCAAUGUGAGGAACCCAAACAAAUUUAUUACAAUGAGACAGUUUCACCUACAAGACAAUGUGUGGCUGCCACACAUACCCUAGUUUCUCCUUUUCUGUUUGGUAAGAGCCUUUAGUCAUCAAAGUCACAUAAAAUUAUUACAAAUGGCAGGCAUUUACUUUCAGACCCUAAAUGAUGGGAAGUAAUAGUAAGGAUCGGUCGUGGCACAUUUUAUGUGUGCAAAGUGUUUUACUGUCAUAUUUUAUGGCUGGUUGGACGUAAUAGCCGUGUGUGAGGUGGGCUGGGCCAACUUCUAUUUCAGAGUCAGGACAUGGUAGCAAUCACCAUACACAUCAAUAUCUUCUUUGCAUGCUAUUUGCCUCGGGGCUUGAGAAAAAGGUUAUCACAUUUUUUUAUUUCUUGGAAUUUGCAUCUGCAUGUUUCACUUUGGUUCACCCAGCCUUUUUAUAAUGAUUCAGACUCAAAACUCAAAUUCUGAACUGCAUGGGUCACAUCCGUGAGUGGCUGCCAAGAUGAGCCAUGGCAGGUCUGACCCAACCCUCUUAGCCUGCAUCAUGAUCAAUAGCUAUUACCAUACUUCCACAGGAACUCCAUCUCAUUUGUCCCCAUCACUUAUCUUCCAAGGUCACAGAAAUGAUCCCUCUUGUCCCCAUCCCCCUCCAUCACUUUCUUGCAGGUAAGUGACCUUUGAAGUCCUUGUUUGCCUAUCACCACCCAUCCUUUUGGCCCAGCUUCCUUGGGCACUGUAGUCACAAUGGAGGCACCAGGGACCAGCUCCAGGAAAGAGUGAUCAGUUCCACCCCCAACCUCCAGUUUCUUCUGAUAAUCUAUGAAUUUGGACAGGCAGGAGUAAAGGUCUUGUAAACUCUCAUGAACUCUUCUCUUUCCUCUCUCCAUUCCUUCAGCAAGUAUUCCUGAGCUCUGUGAUUACUCUGAGGGUGACCUAAUGACCAAGAUAGGCUGUCCCUUGCCCAUGAGAGAAGCACACAUCCUAACAGGGAGCCCAGGAAUAUCAAAGGACACUUACCAGCCAAGGCUGUUGGUUCUAUGAGAGUAAUUGGGAGCUAUGGUGCAGAAGUCAUAGAUACCUGCCUCAGGUCUGGUGUCUUAAGGAGGGCCACACUUUGCAGUUAGAUUGGAAAGGUUAAUGUAUCUUUUACUAGGAGAGAGUUUAAGUCUCUCCAUGGAAGGCCACGGGUGUGACCCAGGGGAAUGAGAGUGGAGAGAGUGUCUUUACAGUUUAGGCAUUAAGAGGGGAAAGGGGAGCUAGGCUUAAGUCCUGUUCAAGGAUAAGAGGCACCUUUGGUUACUCCUGUAGGAUGUCUCUUGACAUAUGAUGGGCAGUUGAGCAAGGUUCAGACCCAGCAAAAAUUACCCCCCUCCAAAAGCCUAAAAGGACGGGAUGAGCUCCUUUACAAAUAAUUGCUAACAAACUCCACAGCUAGUCUCAGAGCUGCAAGGGGUGGGGGGUGGGGGGAGUUUAGGAAAAGGAAUCAGGAAAUAGCUCUUUGUUUAAUUAGGUGUGUGGCCUUAGCCAGUCAUUUGACCACUCUGGGCCUCACUGCCUAUUUUAACUUAUAGGAUUAAUAGUCCCUGCCCUAUUCACUCAACAAGUCUGUUGGGAGGAUAAAAUCAUAUAAUAAAUAUGAAAAGCUUAAGAUAUACAAAAAUAAAGCCCAUGCCUGUGUCCAAUGCUGUUUCACUGUUCACUUGCUUCUGCUUCUAGGUUUAGCUCUCUACUCAUCCACUGCUGAGUGUCUGGGGUGCUCCCUCAUUUAGCCCACCCACUGUCAGACACUGCCCCCUCACUCACCAUCCCACAUCCCUUGAUCAACAGCUGCUAAUCAUAUGGCCAUGGUUGAGUCAUUGCUAGGACUGAACCGUGUCAUGGCUAACACCAUCCAAAUAUGCGAAUGGCCCCUUCACUUUGAAUCCAUAUUCCCCAAGUCUAUUCUGAGACCGAGGCCAGUGGCACAUGCUGGAAAAGGAAAAUCUUUGUCUCUGGAUGCCACAGGCCCGGGGUUAUCUCUCUGCACCCAGUAGCAUUCUGCUAGCUGAAACCUAUCUGUCUUUCGUCCUGAAGAUGAUCUGGUGCUCCCACUGCAUGUGCUUGGGCCUGUUUCAACAAUGCUUCCAUGCUCUGGUCUCUCCUUGAGCAGGGAUAUGCAGGGAAUCUAAACCAACUGGCCCUUUAACAUGACAAUAUGACCUUGACUGUGCUCUGAUUGGCUGAACUAACUGCCUAGCACUUUACUAGCUCAGUAAAUGCUUGUCAAAUGAAUGAUUAGGCUUUGUAUUGGGUUGAAUGGUGUCUCCCCCCCAAAUUUAUAAGUGCAAGUUCUAACCUCCAGUACCUCAGAAUGUAAUUGCAUUUGGAGGAAGGUCUUUAGACUUAAUCAAGUUAAAAUGAGAUCUUUAUGAUCUCAUCCAAUAUGACUGGCAAUCCCUACAAGAAGAGGUCUGGACACAGGACACGCAUGUGUGUACAGAUGUAAAAUGGUGUGAAGAUGCAGGGAGCAGACAGCUGUCCACAAGCCAAGGAGAGAGGCCUCAGAAGAAACCAACACUGUCAAUACCUUGAUCUUGGAUGUCCAGCCUUCUGAACUGUGAGAAAAUAAAUUUCUGCUGUAGAAGCCACUCUGCCUAUGGCAUCUUGUUAUGGAGCCCCCAGCAAACAAAUACAAACCUGAUUAAGAACAUGUAAAAAUAGCUAUCACAGAAUGGCCAUCAGUUGUGUGAAAUUUAGAGCUUCAUCAGUAAGUAUGUGACUUGCCUGAAGUGGGGAAGGUGUUUAGGGGGCCAUCCUUCUUUCUUGGACAACUCUGUGGGCCCACCAGGAGGCCUCAGAAAUGAAUAAUCAAUAGCGUGGAAAACAGACUUUCCUAACAGCAAGGCAGGGGCUGCUGUAUCUAGGAGACCUCUGUAUUAUAUUACAAGCACAUAUUAUGUUUCCAUUUUACAGAAAGGGGACCUGGAUCAUACAAUGGAUCUGAAGUCAAUUUCCAAUGGAAUCACAGCUGCACAUUUUCCAACCACAACAUGCCCUCACUGAUCUUUGCUCCCUCUCCUUUCUCAUUUCUGCUUGCUUUUCAGCAAACCCCAGAGCUUAUCGUUACACAUAACUAUAUAGAGAUUUGGAAAGUGGGGAAGAAUUGGAGGGGAAAGCCAGUAUUUAGCAAUAGAGAAACAAUUGCCAAAGCACCUUUGCUGACGUAAGGCAAAAACUGAGAGCUCCACUGACUAAUCACACCAUGCCUCUCCUUACAGCUCUGAAGCUGGAUUAAACAGAAGUAAACUACAAUGGGUAUGGAAGAGACUGUCCCCAGGGGUACAGAUGACAGAACGAAGCAUGCAUACUGGGCAGAUAACUGAAGGGACGCUCAGACGCCAGAGGAGACAAAGGCUCUGCCCUUUACCGACAUGCAGGCUUUGCCGGCUGCUGGGCUUCCCUCCCGCACAGGGAGCCUGGCACCUAUGCCUGCUCUCUGCCCCACUCCUGGUUUCUUUCCUGGGCUGAGGACACCAAACUGCUCCUUCUGGCAUCUGCCUGACAUGGUCCUGACCGUGGCCUCUGUCAGCAGGGUCCCACUUGUUCUCCUAACGUCCCCCAUUUAUCGAGACUUACUGAGCACCUGCUUUGUGCAUGGCUGUAAAGAGUUCAAGCCUCAUUCCCCAAGGCUGGACCUGAAGGAGAAUUUCCCCUGAGCUGGCAAGGCUGGACUCUGUGGCUCCGCCCUCAUCCCUGGAGAUUUAGCUUCCUUGGUGGCUUCUGUCUGUGAUCACUACUGCCACUCCUAACCCUGCUUCUUAUGUGUACCCCAGUUCUCACACAGCUCCCAGGGCCACGCUGGGCCAGAUCCUGGACUCCUCUGUCCAAAAUCUUUGGGAACUUUCCCAAAUCACUCUGUAGCUGACAAGACCCUGCCCAGUCUGCCUUCCUAUUCUCUCUUUGAUUUCAUUCCUUGCACCUCUCUUUCUUUCUCUCUGGUUCCAGCCUGCUUUUUUGCCCUUGGAAUGCUCCAGGCUUGUUCCUGCCUCAGAACCUUUGCACCUGCCCUUCCCUCUGACCACAACACCUCUUGCCAGGUGGUCUCAUAGCUCACUUCUUCCCCUCCUUUGGGGCUUUGCUCAAAUUCCAUUCUCAGUGAGGCCCUUCCUGACUUCCAGUAUUUAAAACUUUACCCCUCACUACCAGCACCCCUAAUCUCCUUCUCUACUUAAUUUUUUCCAUUAUGCUCUUGACCAUCUGACAUACCAAAUAUUUAUUUAUUCUUUGCCUCCCCUGACAAGAAGGUAAAUCCGAGGAGAGUAGGAAAUUUUUCCUCUCGGUUGCAGUGGCACCAGCACACAGAACAGCACCUGCCAUCUGUUGAACCAAUGAAGGGACUCAAAGUACAAGUCACUCACCGGAAAACUCAUCGAUGAUGGUGGAAUAAAUAUGGGAAUGAA
Canis lupus familiaris (dog) is the source of this 12083-nucleotide long non-coding RNA. RefSeq lists it as uncharacterized. The transcript has 3 exons. NCBI's taxonomy places the organism in Eukaryota, Metazoa, Chordata, Mammalia, Carnivora, Canidae. The record is from RefSeq and is a predicted model, not a curated record.